Molecule: long non-coding RNA, 3237 nt
Organism: Triticum urartu
Lineage: Eukaryota; Viridiplantae; Streptophyta; Magnoliopsida; Poales; Poaceae
Source: RefSeq, a predicted model, not a curated record
CGAUCGCCAGGUGUUCCGUGGUCGGGUUUUACGGAGCGAAGGGAAACGCGAACGAACAACACACAGCGGAAGUGGGCCCCAACCAACCCACACUCUCACAUCCACAAGCGCACGCCUGUUUCUUCUCCCAAAUCCACCGCUGCGUUCGUCGAUCCGCGGCGCCGGCCGCGCCGCACUCCGCGAGCGCCUGCUUGUCUCCCCAGCCGGCGUCAGCGGCCAAGGUGACAGAUCCACAGGCUUCUCCCCCGCCCUAGAUUUUCGCUCGCCGAAUCCGUCGGCUCCUUGCUGCCGUCGCCUUCGCGGUCGCCGCGAUUCUCGACUCCGGCGACCUCCUCCCAGCCUCCCGCGACAAGGCCGUGUCCGUGUUGGCCGCCUUCACGUCCUCCGAAGGCGAGUGCACACCCAUCUCCAUGAGGAAGGCGAGCGCGCACCACCCCCACGCUCCUCGUACAGUGGCGCUGGCACCGACGCCGUUGUAGCGGGCCUCUUCCUCUCAAGCAUCUCGCCGCAGGCCACAUCAGGGAUGGCCUCGACCUCCUGCUGCUAACUGCUGGUGCUGGCUGUAGCUUGAACUGGAGGUCUGGAGCAGAAAAAUUGCACCGAGGUAGCAGGUGGAUGAUGGUGUUGGUGCCUUUCUCUUGAAUUGUUGCUGGUGAUGGCUGCAAUUUAAAGGAGUAUUUUUUUCCUUUCUCUCCUUCCAUUUCUGUAAUUGUGCUUCCCCUAUGCGUGAUGAUGUUUCUUAGCACAAGGUGCAUUGGCUUGGGUUGAUCUGCUGUGAUAGUUCGGAGAGAUGAUAGUAGCAAGUAUAAACUCUCUACUAUGAUUAUAUUCAUAACACAUGGCAAAAAAGAGACUGCAUUAUUAAGUAAUCUGUUGUUUCGUUAUCAUUCUAAUUCUUUUUUAGCCACUAUACAUGUGUCAUGUAUGAGAACUUGAUAGAUAUUUGCUUAUCUGUGUCCAAGUGAUUACAGCAUAUAAUAAAGCGGGGAAAACAAGAUUUAUAUUGAGCAUUGUUUUUAAGGCGGUAAGGCGACCUAAGGCGAGCACCACCCGCUCUAGCGCCUAGGCGACGCCUAAGGCGGGCAUAUUUGUAAGGCGCUGCCCGGGCGCCUUAUCGCUUAAGCGUCGCCUAAGCAUCCAAUGCAGGACGCCUUAAAAACAAUGAUAUUGAGCUAUUAUACUCAUUUCUUCUAUUGGACUUGCUCAAACUUGCAUGAUUUUUUUGUUAGUAGUUGCCUUGUUCCUGCUAUUGGACUUGCUUAAUGGGUCAACGGGCUGUUUGUAUCCACUAUUUUAUUUUCUUCGGAAAGCAAGCUAAUGAGUUGGCUGCAGAAUCUAUGGAAAUUGUCUACAAACCCAGUAUGAGUUGCUGCCUUUUAAUCCCUUCUCUAAAGAAAACCUGGUUUUCUUGGAUAUAGUAUGCAAUUUGCUUAGAUUAGAGCACAACUUGCCUGCAAUAACUAAAGCAUUUGUCCAUGGGACACAACACAACUUGAUGUUCCGCAUAAUAUAGGUCCACAUUUAUUUGCCUGAAACUUGUAUGCAAAUUGCCUACAAACCAAGUUGUAGUUGCUCCUGACUUUCGCUAUUUAUUUUAAUUCGGCUAGCAAGCUGAUGAGGUUGCUACAUUAUCUAUGGAAAUUGCCUACAAACCCAAUACGAGUUGCUACCUUUCAAUCAUUUUUUAUAUGUGGUGCAUAUACUGGUUAGUAGUCUCCAUGUGUUUGUUAUUUUUUCAUAAUAAUUGCCUCAAAUUUCGUAUGUAGUUGCCUCAAAUAACACAUGAACCUUGCUCUUCAUUUAUUUUCCUUAACAUUUCAUAAUAAUUGGGGUAAUUUUAUACUUGAAGUUUAAAUGUGACAACACAUUAUCAUUGUAUGUUUUAUCUCUUGUUUUGCUACAUUGGGAUUUUUUUAAUUGGGGGUGCCGAAUGGGGGUAUUCUCCCCCCUGUUUUUUACAGCCACGUGCUUUCAUUUUUGAGGCGCCUCAUGUCAAUGACAACACAUGCCUCAGAUGAUUUUGUCCAUGAUGAUCUGGGUACGUUAACAACAACAGAUGCCUCAGAUGAGUCAUGUUUUUGUUAUUUUUCGGUGCGCAUUGGAAGGCGAUUCGCCUGUUUUUUUGGGUUUACUUGCCUAGAAUUGGUAUGUGAGUUGCCAGUAUCCGAGAGACGAUAUCCAGAAAGUCAUCUGAAUGCACUCUUUUUCUUUUUGUGUAGUAGGAACUAAUGGAUGAACCAAGCAAAAAUAGCAUUCAAGAAGAUCAUUAUGCAGUUAAUCGUGAUGCUGAUCCCUCACAUGUGAUUGAAGAUCAUCACGAGGGCCAGAGAAGCACACCCUUUAUUGGGUACCAGCGUUGAGGAAGAAAGGAGAUUGCUGCUAGUGGCAAACGUCUGUUGGACAUCAACAGCAAUUCGAGUGUUUCCACAUAUGGUGAUUGAAAUUCUAAGAAAGACACUGUCAUGGAACAACCAUCAAAAGCAAAAUGUCAAAAGACCGGAUCUAACGAGAAUAAGAGAACAGGGCAUCGCCUGCAAGUCUUUUCAAGCUGAAUAAACUUCUUGUACCUGUUCAACAAGGCCAAGCUCAAGUCACUUUCAGUCAAUUUCUGACACCAGCCUUGUGCAGAUCAUGGGGAAAGGUAAAGGAAGGCUUGUGUUCUUCAGUAACCCAGGGGACAAGGAUGAAAGAGGCACACAAUCAUGGGGGAAAGUGAAAGCUAGAUCUGACCUUUUUCUGUGCUUUUUCUACCCUUAGUCAAUAGGAAUUGCCUGGAGAACAAAUCCUAAACCAACCACCAUUGGAGGAUUGUGGAGAGUUUUCUGUAUCUGGGAGUUGUCCCUUUGUGGGUUGGGAGAGAAGAAGAUGGGGCUGGGCGAUUUGGUGGGGAGACGCCCAAGGGGUGGAGGAGGGAAACACGUGGGGAGGGAGGAUCAGGUGAGUUCCGUGGCUCGAUGGUGCGAGGAAUCGGGAGCGGGGGCCAGGUACUUUCCUAUCCUAGACAGGGGGGACAGAAAAUUACUAUUUUGGAAGGGCUGCUAGGGAACGCUAGGGAGCAGCCGACUGCUCCCUAGACGCGUCCUAGUUUAUUUAGGAUCCCGCUGCUAUUCUGCUACAGUAAUUAGUUUGGCACAGUGGCUACAGCAUCACGUGCAACUAUGGAAGGUCGGGGGUUCGAGUCCUAUCGUGUAUACAUCACAAGAUUUUUUUGCGAAUUUUUCAUUCCUUGAAGGACAA